GACGAACGCUGGCGGCGUGCUUAACACAUGCAAGUCGAACGGAAAGGCCCUGCUUGCAGGGUACUCGAGUGGCGAACGGGUGAGUAACACGUGGGUGAUCUGCCCUGCACUUCGGGAUAAGCCUGGGAAACUGGGUCUAAUACCGGAUAGGAGCUAUUUUUAGUGUGAUGGUUGGAAAGUUUUUUCGGUGUAGGAUGAGCUCGCGGCCUAUCAGCUUGUUGGUGGGGUAAUGGCCUACCAAGGCGGCGACGGGUAGCCGGCCUGAGAGGGUGGACGGCCACAUUGGGACUGGGAUACGGCCCAGACUCCUACGGGAGGCAGCAGUGGGGAAUAUUGCACAAUGGGCGCAAGCCUGAUGCAGCGACGCCGCGUGGGGGAUGACGGCCUUCGGGUUGUAAACUCCUUUCGCUAGGGACGAAGCUUUUUGUGACGGUACCUAGAUAAGAAGCACCGGCUAACUACGUG
Molecule: ribosomal RNA, 465 nt
Filed under: uncultured bacterium
Lineage: Bacteria
Description: partial 16S ribosomal RNA
Rfam family: Bacterial small subunit ribosomal RNA
Source: RNAcentral